Molecule: long non-coding RNA, 12030 nt
Filed under: Vitis vinifera (wine grape)
Lineage: Eukaryota; Viridiplantae; Streptophyta; Magnoliopsida; Vitales; Vitaceae
Description: long non-coding RNA (VVIN_LNC005452)
Source: RNAcentral
AAAAGAAAAGGGGUUUGAAUGACCACAAAAAAUGAUGAUAAGAGUCUAUACCAAAUUGGAUACUGCUUGAAAUAUCCAUUGUGUUCGCCCUCCCUCAAUUCAUCCCCAUUCUGAAUGAUGCCUACUUCAUCUUCUAUGUGCACACCCCUAAUGUAAUCCUCCCAACCCACCAUGUCCAUAAACCAAAAUCUCUCACCAUAGCCUUUGAUUUUCUCUUGUUUUUAUCCAACCUCUUUCCUUAGAUUCCUUUCUUCUAUCUCUUCUAUAUAAUCCUUUUUGGAAGAAUGUGUACAUUUUUGUAGUUUAAUCACCCAAAUGGUCUGUUUCGGUAUUUGAUGCCAAAACAAAAAAUAAUAAUAGUAAUAAAUCCAAACAAUAGUAAUUAUUAUUAUUAUUAUUAUUAUUAUUAUUAUAGAAAGUAAUGCAUGGAUCGUGAGCCCUAAUCAAGGGGCUUUUUAUUGUAUUAUAAAAAAUAAUUCUAAAAUUACCACAUUUUUUAAUUUCAAGUAUAACUCUUAAGAUGGAAAAAUUAGUUUAGCGUAAAAGUAAACUCAUGUCUUUAAAAGGCAAAUUCGUAAAAAAUGAAUUCGAUUUUUUAAAAGACAAAUUUAAUACAAAAAAUGAACUCGUGUAUUUAAAAGAUAAGUUCAAUAGAAAAAGUAAAUUCGUCUUUUAAAAAGAUAAGUUUAAUGUAAAAAUAUAACAAAUUGUGAAAAAUAUUAAAUUUUUAUAUUUAUUUGUUUUAAAUAACUAUUUUUUAAAUAAUACUUAAAAAGAAAAAAAAAUCCCCAAAUUAAGUGGUUGUAGUGUCAAAAAGGUGGCAAAGAACAUGGAAAAGAAAAAGGGUUUGAAUGACAACAAAAUAUGAUGAUAAGAGUCUAUACCAAAUUGGAUAUUCCUUGAAAUAUCCAUUGUGUUCACCCUCCCUCGAUUCAUCCCCAUUCUAAAUGAUGCCUACUUCAUCUUCUAUGUGCACACCCCUGAUGUAAUCCUCCCAACCCACCAUGUCCAUAAACCAAAAUCUCUCACCAUAACCUUUGAUUUUCUCUUGUUUUUAUCCAACCUCUUUCCUUAGAUUCCUUUCUUCUAUCUCUUCUAUAUAAUCCUUUUUGGAAGAAUGUGUACGUUUUCGUAGUUUAAUCACCCAAAUGGUUUGCCUUUCGGUAUUUGAUGCCAAAACAAAAAAUAAUAAUAGUAAUAAAUCCAAAUAAUAGUAAUUAUUAUUAUUAUAGAAAGUAAUGCAUGGAUUGUGAGCCCUAAUCAAGGGGCUUUUUAUUGUAUUAUAAAAAAUAAUUCUAAAAUUACCACAUUUUUUAAUUUCAAGUAUAACUCGUUUUUUGAAAAAAUUAGUUUAACGUAAAAGUAAACUCAUGUCUUUAAAAGGCAAAUUCGUAAAAAAAUGAAUUCGAUUUUUUAAAAGACAAAUUUAAUACAAAAAUUGAACUCAUUUAUUUAGAAGAUUAGUUCAAUAGAAAAAGUAAAUUCGUUUUUUAAAAAGAUAAGUUUAAUGUAAAAAUAUAACAAAUUGUGAAAAAUAUUAUAUUUUUAUAUUUAUUUGUUUAAAUAACUAUUUUUUAAAUAAUAUUUAAAAAGAAAAAAAAAAUCCCCAAAUUAAGUGGUUGUAGUGUCAAAAAGGUGGCAAAGAACAUGGAAAAGAAAAGGGGUUUGAAUGACCACAAAAUAUGAAGAUAAGAGUCUAUACCAAAUUGGAUAUUCUCUGAAAUAUACAUUGUAUUCACCCUCCCUCAAUUAAUCCUCAUUUUGAAUGAUGUCUACUUCAUCUUCUAUGUUCACACCCUUGAUGUAAUCCUCCCAACCCACCAUGUCCAUAAACCAAAAUCUCUCACCAUAGCCUUUGAUUUUCUCUUGUUUUUAUCCAACCUCUUUCCUUAGAUUCCUUUCUUCUAUCUCUUCUAUAUAUAAUCCUUUUUGGAAGAAUGUGUACGCUUUCGUAGUUUAAUCACCCAAAUGGUUUGCCUUUCGGUAUUUGACGCCAAAACAAAAAAUAAUGGCCACCAAAGUUGAAAAUCAAGCUUUGUGGGGCACUCCAGCCCUCCCCAGAUCUCCAGAUCCUGAAAGUUAAUGCUUCUCGUCACAUUCUCAAAUUUGCAAGGAAAUUAUGUCUUCCAAGCUGAUUUGGCAAUCUUCUUCAGUCAUGGGGCCCUCCUCCAAAGAUAAAACUACAAGAAAAUAGUUUAUUUGCAGGAAGAGGAUUGCAGAGGUAAUGUGCCAAUCUUUCAAAAUUUUAAUCACUGCUUGAAGGCUAUAAAUUAUGUCAUCUUAAUUGCCGUGAAUGUUGGACAGAUGCAGCAUGAUCAAAUUGUGUACAUUAGGGCUUUUGAAUUACUUUGUUGAGAUAUUCUUGCUGCUUAAUGUAAAGUUCAACAUUAUAUACUUCUGAUACUAAGAUGCAUUCUAUCUAAGAUCAGUUGUGAUCAUUGCAGAAGUGAUUAUUCUUACUUCUUAAUCAAAUAGAAGAGGGAAAAGAAAAGAAAGGAAGAGGGGAAAUCCCAUCUAGGUAUGUCGAUGAAGCUUUUAUUUAACAAUUUCACAGCCCUGGUUCUACUACUACUCUCUGCAACAAGUGAAGCUUGCCACUCUUCUUGUGGCAAAUUGGGUAACAUAACUUACCCUUUCCGACUGAAAGGUGAUCAGCAUAGCUGUGGGAAGGUCAACUAUGAACUGGAUUGUGAGAAUAAUCAUACAAUCUUGCACUUAUACUCUGGAAAAUACCAUGUAGAAGAAAUCAAUUAUGAUACCUUCACAAUGAGGGUUGUUGAUGUUGGUCUACAGAAAGAUAAUUGUUCUUCUUUGCCUCUUCAGUCUUUGAUGCAUGGAAAUUUUAGCCAUGGGGAUCCAUAUGAGCUGUCAGCUUUCAAUUCAGCCGUAAAUUUCCUGGAGUGUGCAGCUCCAGUGAAGUCUGCCCCCUACCUGGAUACAGCACUUUGCAGUAAAAACAGUUCUUCCAACCUCUCUUUAUCUUUAUCGCAAACACAUUCUUAUGUUGUAGUUGGUGACAUAAGAGCAUCAGAUGUGGAGGACUCUUGCAGUAUUGGCAUGGUGGUUUGGGUUUCUAAUAGCCACCUGAAGAUCAACAACAGUUCCUUUUCAGGCAUCCACAAUGGGCUGCUAUAUGGGACUGAGCUUUUAUGGCCUCGUAUUUGCUACCUUGAUUAUGUCCUUUGGAAAGUACAACUGCCGUGUGGUAAGACUUUACCUUUUUCUGUCCAGGAAACAUUAAGACGAUGAUAAGAUUAAACUGCUUUACCAGUAGAUACUUGUUGUCUUUUGCAAAGUCAAAGAUAUUUAUGCUUAAAAGAUCCUCUAUGAAAGUAGUGAUCCUUAUCUGCAUUAAUUCAUCAGUUGAUCCAGAUUUGCCUUUUUUUCCUUUUUUGGUCUACUCCUUACAGUGGCAUGGAAAACCUUUGUAUUUGGAUCAGCUUCUUUCAAAAAUUUCAUUAUCAAUUUUUUUACUGAUUAAAAAGUGUUCAGUUAAAUGCAAUGCAAUUAUUAGGUUCCAUCCGAGCUGCUUGUUAUCCCUGCAAAUCAACCCCAAAUUAUUAGGUUUUGGCCAUUUUGGCAACUGAGAUUGUGAAGUCGAGUCUCUAGUUCUCAGUUGCUGUACAUUUGUAGGAGGUGUGUACAACAUGGAGUCUUCUUUGCUUAUGCUUACUCAUAUUUCAGCUUUAUGGCUUGAUUCUUUUAUUAUGCUGAUGUUCCCUGUCUGUAUAAUGCAGCUUUGUUGGAUCCAUUUUAUUUCUCUGCGAAAUGUAAGAAUUCUCUCUCCAUCUCCAAGUGUUCCCUUCAUUCAUACAUAAGCCUAUUUACAAAUUAUUUCAGUAUUGCAUUUGAUUCUAUUUUCUUUGUUAUUUUGAACAGAUGGUGGCCCUUACUUUGGUAAGAUACUUGAUUUUCCCCUGUUUUAAGUCAUGGAGAAACAAAGAUCAACUUAAAUAGAUACGCCAUGUGUUUGAAGGCAUCCAAUAAAAUUUGAAUAUGGAUGGCCUUUUAAUUCCUAAAUGCAAAACACAUAUGGUCAGAACGCCAUCGACUUAACUGAACAUGUGCUUUACAAGACAUAUUUUCUGUAACCCAAUAAACAGAAAAGGAAAAGAAAUGAAAGGAUACCAUACUAGAACUUGGAAAAAAUGAUAAUAAAGAUGGAGUGAUUCUUCAAGUUUAAUCGCUAAUUUUCUGUAAUUUUCAUUUCCAGAGCUUAAUAUUGCACUGAGAUGUUGUGGGAUUCCAUGUGUGUUUGUGUUCUUGAUCUAUAAAUGGCGAAGAAGGAAUUUGUGGAUCUACAGUGACAUUGAAGAGUUCAUUCAAAGUCACAACAACCUAAUGCCAAUUAGGUACUCUUACUCAAACAUUAAGAAGAUGACAAAAAAUUUCAAGGAAAAAUUGGGUGAAGGAGGUUUUGGUUCAGUGUUUAAAGGAAAGCUUCAAAGUGGCCGUCUUGUAGCUGUAAAGAUGGUCAAUUCCAAAGCCAAUGGACAGGAUUUUAUCAAUGAAGUUGCUACAAUUGGAAGGAUCCAUCAUGUCAAUGUGGUCCAACUAAUUGGAUUCUGUGCCAAGGGAUCGAAGCGUGCUCUUGUAUUUGACUUCAUGCCCAAUGGGUCUCUGGACAAGUACAUAUUCCCUCGAACAGAAGCAAAUAUCUCUUUGAACUUUGAGAAAAUGUAUGAGAUUUCUCUAGGAGUGGCUCAUGGGAUUGAAUACUUACACCGAGGUUGUGAUAUGCAAAUCCUACAUUUUGACAUCAAGCCUCACAACAUUCUGCUUGAUAAGAAUUUCAGUCCAAAGGUUUCAGACUUUGGCCUUGCAAAACUGUAUCCAACAGAUCAUAGCAUUGUGUCUGUAACUGCAGCAAGAGGGACAAUGGGAUAUAUGGCUCCAGAGUUGGUUUACAAAAACAUUGGGGGAGUCUCAUACAAAGCUGAUGUUUAUAGUUUUGGAAUGUUGUUGAUGGAAAUGGCAGGCAGAAGGAAGAAUUUGAAUGUGUUUGCAGAGCAUUCCAGCCAAAUGUACUUUCCUUCUUGGGUGUACGACCAGUUCUCUGAAGGAAAGGACAUAGAAAUGGGAGAUGCCACAGAGGAAGAGCAGAAACUUGCAAAGAAGAUGAUCAUAGUGGCCUUAUGGUGCAUACAGCUGAAGCCGAGUGAUCGACCUUCAAUGAGCAAAGUGGUAGAGAUGCUAGAGGGGAAUGUAGAACUCCUGCAAAUGCCUCCAAAGCCCUUCUUAACUCCACAAGAGGUGCCAGCUGAGGACCAUUGAAAUAUUUGAACAAAUCUUCCAUUUCCCUUCAGGUAGUGUUAUCCUAUGUCUUGUUUCAUUCUCUGUAUCUCACUUGCCCUUGAAAUAUUUGAAUCAAUCUUCCAUUUUCCUUCAGGUAAGUUCCAGUUCUUUGCAGAUCUAUAGAAAUAUAUAGUUGUUGAGCUUGGAGAGAUUUAAGUUGUCUAGUUUGUUAUGCAUUUGUUGCCAGCAGUGUCCCUAAGGCUAUGUUUGGUUCCUGGAAAAUACUAAAGAAAGAAAAAAAAAUGCAAAGGAAAAUGAUUUUCUUUAGUUUGGAUGACAUGAAAAAUAUGAUGGAAAAAAAAUAUAAAGGAAAAUAUUGUAAUAUUUUCCCUAUUAUUUUCCUUAAAAAAUAGUGAGGAAAAUAAGAGAAAAAAAGAAGGGAAAAGGGGGGGAAAAUUUUAUCGGGCUCUUGUUCACCGAGGCUUCACCUCUAACUUCCUCUUCAUCUGUGGCUAUGGCUUCUCAUCGUCGUUAACCCUUUCAAUGGCCACCACUAUCACUUCAACCACCUUCCAGUGCUGAAAACCUACCCUUUUCAGGCCCCUGAGUUCCCAUGGAUGAAAUGCGUUAUUCAAAUCAAGUUCCCAUGGGUGAAAUGAAUUCUUCAAAUCCAGUGAAUCUAUUCGGAUCCAUGUCUUUAAAUCAUGUAUGAAUUGAACUCCAAUCCACCUCAUCUUGUGAAAACUCGGAACCCAAGGUAACCGCUCUCUCUUGGGUUCUCUAUUUGGGUUUCUAUGUUGCUUUCGCCUUUCCUGUUUCUUAAAUUUCGCCAGAAUUUUUCUUGAACAUAUUACCUAUCACAUAUCCUUGCAUCACCCAAAUUGGAGUUAGCCAUAUCACACAUUUGGUAUCAUCUCUGUGCUUCCAUUUGAUUUCAGAAACAAGAAUUGAUUGAAAAAAUGGGGAUAUUACAUGUUUGAAUAAUUGCCUCUAAGAAAUAGUGUAUGCAUAUAUGCAUGACUUGGUUGGGGGGAAUGGGUCUGCAGUUGUGUAUUGCAUAUUUAUAUGUUGUUGCUGCCUUUGAGUGCUUGGUUAUUAUUUUGUAUCAUUGUUGGUGGCAUCAAUUUUCGGAUGGUUUAACAUUGGAUUGUUAGAAGUAUCAGUUUCUACUCUCCUGAUUAGAAAUGUUACCAUAAAAACAAAAUUAAGAUGCUUGUUGCGUUACAAACCCAGUAGAUUAAAUAAUAAAACGAAUUGAAAAUAAUCAAUAAAUUUGGUAGUGGGCUAAGAUGGGACCCUUCCAUAUAUCUUCAAAUGUGAAAUUAAUCACAUGACACUAAAUGAGAAACUUGACUAGAAGUUGCCAUUCAUCUGUAUUAUUGUUAUUUUACUAAAAUAAAGACAAGUUAUUCUCUUGAUUGUGAAAAUUGUUUUUGCACUGCUGUUUUAUUGUCCAAAGCUUUUGAUAAAUGCUUAGAUAUGUUGUAUUCUGUCAAUUUCAAUUGCCUUUUAUUGUCAAGCCUUUCUGGUAUCUAGGGAUAAACCUGUCCUGUCUUUUGGUUUGUGUGGGGCUUGAAGGUGGGAUAUGUUGUAAUUGGGGUUGUGUUUUCAAAUGCGAUGAGGUGCAAUUGCUCCUGAAGUUGUCACUAUUGAUUUGAUGACACAUCCCUAGUUCAACACAACAACUUCAAGUAUCAGAAUCAUACAGAAAUACCCAACAUAUGGAUUGGAGCAAUAACAGUAAUUUCUAUUAUCAAAAUGAUCAAGAUCGACCCCUUUACCUGAUAGAUUGAUCUUGCCUCACCAAAGAUAAAGUCAAUGCUUCCUUGGAUGUAACACUGGUUAAAGUAGUGUGUUCCAGACAAAUCCAUGAGGGUGUCCUAUGCCCCUAAGGCCUGACAUUGUAGAACAUGGCUUUAUCACCGUUUAUACUCAGUGCCACUGCUUGCAUUCUAGGCACUCUAGGCCUUGCAUCCACUGCUUUCAUUGAUUUCUCUAAUUAUCUACUUUUUUGCGUCUACCGAACAGAGCACAGAGUUCAGUUUGAUUGCCUCAGGUGCUUAAGGUGGUUUUGUAUAAAUAACAUCAUGGGGUUGUGGAGUGGCACUCUAUAUAGUUGCUAAUUUCCAGGGUGUUAGAUUAAUAAUAUGACUUCUUGGGAAUGUUUCUAUUACUUAAAGAAACCUUUUGUUGAUUUCGAGAAUCUCCUUUGAUUUUUGUAGCCGUUUUUGGUUGAUGGUAUAGAGAUCACAAUAAAUAAUUACAAUUUUCUAGCCAUUUUUCUGAUCUAUUGUUCUGUAUCAUGAAAUUGAAAGUUUGGUAAUAAAAACGUUUUUCCAAUUUGUAGCACUGAAAACUUGAAGUUGUAGAAAAGGUAAAUUCGUGGAAGUUUGUGACUGAAAUGUGAUGGUUUAAAUUUUAGCCUGCGUGGGUUGCAAUGGAAAUUUCAGUGGCUAAAUGUAAUUAGUUUCUGCAACAUGUUUUCAACACGCUAGGCAUGAAAAUUUGUUAAUUUUUUUUUUCUCAAUUUUAUUAGUCCAAAUAGUCUAACUAUAGAUGGAAAAUGAAUAAUACAGAUAGUGGUGUGUAUCACUAAAUACAGUUAGAGGAAGGGUUGAAUGAGACUGAUAUCUUUCUACCAAUCUACUCCAAGAGUUCAAUUUUUGUUUCCUUGAAAUUUUUUUAAUUAUUCAACAAAUUGAUAACCAUCUAAAAUAAAUUAUUGAUUUUAUUUUCCUUCUAUUUUUCCUUUACCUUUUUUUGUGGUUAACCAAACAAAAGAAAAUGUAUUUUUUUUCCCUUGAAUUUUCCAUGGAUAACGAAACAAGUGAAAAAAUUUAUAUUCCUUUCCUUAGCUUUUUCUUUCAUUCCAUUUUUCCUCCUAAUUUUCUUUCUCUCGCAUUUUUCGAGAACCAAACAUAGCCUAAAUGAUGGCUUUUCUUGCCUUGAGUGAUCCUGAUAACUCUUGAGCCUUUGGCAAAAUGGAGAAUUCAAAAGGCUUUGAUGUCGUUUGGUGUUGUGAUUUGAAAAUAGUUUUAAACAAGAAGUGAAAUAGGGAAUAAGUAAAAAGUUGUUUUCACUUGUUUUGAAAAAUAAAAGGAAAAUGUUAAAUUUUCAAAUAUGAUUUUAUUUUGAGUUACAUAUGUUUUUCUAAAUUUUUUAAAAUUUCUUUGAAAAUUUUCAUUAAAUAAAUAAAUUUCAAAUUAGACUACACUUGGUACAUUAAAUUUAUUAAUUUAUAAAAAUAAUUUUAAACUCAAAAACCGAUUUAAUUAGUACUAGAAAUCAUGAAAUUCAAUAAAAUUAUAAAGUCAUGAAUCAAAAUUCAUUUUGAAUGACUUAGAGCUUAUUUGAUCAUGUGAUUUAAAAACAAUUUUUUGUUUUUAAAAACAGAAAAUUGUUUUUAAAUUUUUUUAACACUAUCUGGUUGUUAUUCUUUGAUUUUUUUUUUAAAAAAGUAAAGUAAAAUAAAAAAUAAUUUUUAGAGAAUAAGUAAGAGUUGUUUUCACUCAUUUCUAAAAGCAAAAGGAAAACAUAGGCCUAUUUGGUCAUGUUUUCCUAAACUUAUUUUUAAAAAUUGUUUUUAAGUUAAAAAUAAAAAAUAAAAAUAAGUUUUUAAAAACAUGACCAAACGGGUCAUUGGUUUCUUCUUUACAUAUAAUCAUAUUGUUGUAAAUUUUUUUUAGUAGGUAGAUAAACUCCCAAUCAAGUAAGACCAAAUGCAUUAGAUUCAUUAACAAGUUUGGUAAUUUUUAAAAAUAACUUGAAAAUAAAAUAAAAUUCCAAUUAAUAUAAGAAAUUUAUGAAUAAAAUUUGAUAUAUAAUAAUUUUAUUGUUUCUCUUGUACAUGUAAUCAUAUUUUCCAAUUUGUUUGUUUGUUUUUUUUAAGAAACAAAUAAACUUCAAAUUAAGCAAAAUGUAAUGCAUUGGAUUCAUUAAAAAGUCUUAUAAUUUUUUAAAUAAUUUGAAAUUAAAAUAGUGAUCCAAUUGAGACAAGAAAUUUAUGAAUAAAAAUUGGAUUACAAUGACUAUUAUUUACUUUCUGUACAUAAUUAUAUUUUUAUAAAUUUUUUCACAAAAAAAAAUGAGUUUCAAAUGAUGUGAUUUUUUGUAUAGAAUUUCUUAAUAAGUUUAAUAAUUUUUAAAAAUAAUUUAAAAUUUAAAUUUUGGUCCCAUUAAUUGAAGAUUAAAAUCAAAUCAUUUCAGAAUGUUUUGGCAAGUAUUAAAUGUGCACAUGUAAUGAAAAAAUAAACUCAUUUCCAUAUUAAAAAAGUUAAACUUUAUUUGAUUUUAAAUUCAUUUGAAAUGAAAUAUUAAUAACAAUGAUUAUUUUUAAAUAAUUAUUAUUUAUUAUCAACACAAAAAAAUCAAUUAUGCUUUUACAAAGAUGAAUAUUUUUUUUAAAAAAAAAUUAUAAUAUAUGAUAUUUAUUAUAAUAUCUCUCUUCAUAUUUUACUAAAAAACUAUUUAUUUGAAUUAAAAAAUAUUUUCAGUUUUAAUAGACUUGAAUUAAAAUUAAUUAAUAAUAUAUAAAUAUAAUUUAUUAUGUUUUUACAAAAAUCAAAAUUAAAAAAUUAUUUUUAUAAACAACUUAUUUAAACAUGGUUUUUUUUUAAAAAAAAAAACAUGUCAAACACCCUUAUUUUAUGAAAUACUAAGUUCUUUGAUAAUUAUUUUUAUAAACAAUUUUCUGUUUUCUAAAAUAAAAAAAUAGUGUUUUUAGAAAACAUUUUUCUAUUCUUAAAAAUAAAAAUAUAGUGCUUUCAGAAAAUAUUUUUUUAAUUAUUUUCACUUAUUUAUUUAAAUCAAUUUUAAAAAUAAUUAUAUAAAUAUAGAGAAAGAUUAAAAGUUAUUUUCAAAACAUAUUUAAAAAUAUAGAACUCAUAUUAAAAACAUUUCAAGUUAACUUUUACUUUACAAAACAUUUAGAGAACAGUUUUUAAUAACGGUUACUAAAAAUUAUUUUUGAAAACAUUUUCUCAACAUAACUUGAAAAACUGUUUUUUGUUCUUGAUUUUUAAAAACAAGCAUAACAAAACAUGAAAACAGUUUUUAAAACCAAACAUAUCAAACCUUAGACAGAGAAAGUCAUAGGCUACACAGUAAUCACCUGUCACAAUGGUUGAUUUUUGCUUAGCAUUUCUUCUGUUCCAGUUAAUCCGACAAUCUUUUUACUUUUCAUUGUUUCUUCUCCUCCAAGAAAAAAUUUCUGCCCUCGCAUUCUGCUUUACUGAUUAUUCUUCUUCUUCAUUUGUCAACACCACAAGCUUUUGAUUUACAUCUUCUCUUUUGACGCUGAGUAGAAAUGGCAUUGUUUGUUGUCUCUGUUUCCAGGGCUUCUGUCUUGCUAAAGCUACAAAGGACGAAACCGAGGAAGGCAAAUGCGGCAUUACAUAACAGAGAGAAGGAAAUGCCGGGAAACAAACAGAUUUUUACAGGUAUUGGAACUAAAAUGGCCAAAAUCAUGGAUUUUUUGAUAAUUCAUUCUGCUUUUCACUUGCUAUGGAGCCCUAGAAAGUGCUCUGUUGUACAAACAUUGGUUGGCUAGCAAUGAUUGAAAGAAAGGUUACAUUGAUAAAAUUUACAACCUGAUUGGUAUUUUUCUCUAUUAUUCUGAGAUAACUGUCAACUCUUGUUGAAAAGGUCUUCCAAGGCUGCUUCCAUUUGUUCAUGUUGGGCUUGUGGAGGCAAAGGGAUUAGGGGGCAUGGUUAAACUGUCUCCUUCUCCUUCCAGCAUUUGAACCACAGCUUUCAUGGGAGGACGAUCCAUAGGGUACCAUUGAAUGCACCAAAGUCCCACAAUUGUUAAUUGCUUUGCUAUUUUAUCAUCUCCCUCUUUUUCAAUCCGGAUAUGCAACUCUUCUCCCUGAUCCAAAUGAUUAUAUGCCCAUUCUGGGAAAUAUAAUUGGCUGGUGUUGUCCACUGUAACAUCAAUAUUCUUCCUUCCGCCUACCAUUUCAAGCAACAGCAUCCCAAAACUAAAAACAUCUGACUUGUAGGACACAUGCCCAAAAUUUCUAGAUAAUACUUCUGGGGCAAUAUAGCCCAUGGUCCCUCGAGCAGCCGUCAUAGAAACUGUACUUUGCUCCUUGGAACACAAUUUUGCCAGACCAAAAUCAGAUAUCUUUGGGUUGAGGUGAUGAUCUAGAAGAAUAUUAUGAGGCUUGAUAUCAAAAUGAAGGAUUCUCUGAUCACAACCUUGGUGAAGAUACUCAAUUCCUUUGGCUAUGCCCAGAGCAAUAUCUUGAAGCUUCUUCCAACCAAGUGAACGGUUCUUAAUGGUGGUUGAAAAUAUGAACUUCUCCAGGGAUUCAUUUGGUAAGAACUCAUAAAUAAGUGCUCGACUAAAUCCAUCGGCACAAAAGCCGACCAAGCGAACAACAUUGACAUGGUGGAUUCUGCCCAUUGUUCUCACUUCAUUGAUGAAUUCUUCCCCAUUUCCCUUGGAAUUGCUAAGAAUCUUUACUGCAACAAGAACUUCAUUGGAAAGCUUUCCUUUGUACACAGUUCCAUAGCCUCCUUGGCCCAAUUUAUCCUGAAAUUGAUUUGUUAUCUUCUUAAUAUCAGCGAAAGAGUAUCUAGAGGGCUUGAGAGCUCUGUAAUCUUCCAAAAACUUUUCAAUCUUUAUUUGAUUCUCUCUUUGUAAUUUAUUUGUGCAAUGAACACGGUAGAACAUAAUGACUACCAGCACAAGAAGAAAGGAACCAACCAUAGGACCUACAAAAAAAAAAGGUUAGGGACCCCUGUUCCCUAAUCCCAGGGAGCAAAAGAAGCAUGAACCAAUGAAAACUUUAC